RNAcentral lists this ribosomal RNA (212 nucleotides) under Proteus mirabilis. Its description in RNAcentral is "partial 23S ribosomal RNA". It matches the Rfam family "Bacterial large subunit ribosomal RNA", at positions 1 to 214 of the family's 2925-position model. Lineage: Bacteria; Pseudomonadati; Pseudomonadota; Gammaproteobacteria; Enterobacterales; Morganellaceae. The record is from RNAcentral.
GGUUAAGCGAAUAAGCGUACACGGUGGAUGCCUAGGCAAUCUGAGGCGAUGAAGGACGUGCUAAUCGGCGAAAAGCGUCGGUAAGGUGAUAUGAACCGUUAUACCCGACGAUAUCCGAAUGGGGAAACCCAGUAUCCUAUGGAUACUAUCAUUAACUGAAUCCAUAGGUUAAUGAGGCGAACCGGGAGAACUGAAACAUCUCAGUACCCCGA